Carassius carassius (crucian carp) is the source of this 1547-nucleotide long non-coding RNA. RefSeq lists it as uncharacterized. The record is from RefSeq and is a predicted model, not a curated record. The transcript has 2 exons. NCBI's taxonomy places the organism in Eukaryota, Metazoa, Chordata, Actinopteri, Cypriniformes, Cyprinidae.
CUGACAAUUCCAGAGACCAAUAGAAAAAGAAAGUAGCGUAUUAGCAGACAUGGGCAAAGUGCGCAGGUUGUUAUUGCAUUGCCUUUAGUGUGUGAUGCAUGGUUUGUGAGUGGUAGUAAUAGUAUGGAUAUGGAAACGCAUAGUAAGAGUUGGUCAUUAAAACUGAAACCGAACUGAAGCAAGGUGUAGAAAAGAGGAUGACUAAAAAUCGAUCCCUUGCCACUGUCCUUGAACGGUAUAAUGUUCUAAAAAUAUUUAAAGGUUAAAUACAAAUGUAUACAUCAGUUAUAAAUAAUUGAACCAAAAUAAGUGGAUUGAAUUGAUCCAUUUCAGAUAUCAUAAGGGCUGGGUUUUUCUGUAAAUUUCAGCACAGGCUGCCAGUGAUUAUCUCUUGAUUUAUUAAAGUGCAGUGCUAUUUUUAAAAAUGAAUGGCAGGUAAAGAUGUGUGGCAUGUUCAGGAAUCAUUAGGAUGAAUGUUACAUGGGGUGACUUUAUUAGUCUUAAGUAAAAUUAGCAGUUACCUAAAAUGACCCUGAAAAUAGUAUUGUAAACCGUUAUCCGAUAUUCCCUUGCACCACCUGUAAUAUCCAAUAGGUGGCGGUAUAAGAUCUCUGCUCGAAUCUCUCAAACUAGAGCAAAGGGUCAAAGUUUUAUUUGACAAGUUUUACAAGUCAAGCAUGAAGAUGACAAAUUACAUGUCCGUCAUGUUGGUAUGUUGCUGAACUUUCAAACCUUGUUGAACAACCCCAAAAGCUACAAGGAAUUCUCCAACUGUGACGACAAACAUCAAUGCUGGGUGUCAAUGAGGCAUGAAAGGACGCCUUGUUAUCACAAGCAUUCAGUUUGUCCAUUAAACUGCGAAAAAUGUUCCCACGCAGGCAUUUAGCGGAGUAAAUCAUUGACACACAAUCCUCAUUCCUAGGUUACCAGCAGGAAACGCUCUCCUUGGCUUUGGCCCUGGGCUCUGAAGAGCAGGUGAGAGCUGAAGAGAUGAGAGCGCAGAAACUAGCAUGGGGUUUGGGUUACCACAACUAUUCGGCAGACGUUACUGCGGCUCGUAUCGUAGGGUGAAGGUCAUGGAAGCUAUGCGGCUCGACAGCGAGGGCCAGAUGCUCUUUUACUUCAGAGUAGAGGACAGAUUUCCUAUCUUUCUCCCUCCCUCCCCAAGAAUGUCAUGAAAACAGACAGGGAUUCCCCUCGUUGUCCGUGAAGGACGGUAAAAUGCAGAUGGCAUGGGUGAUCGGAACGCCACGUUUCCUGGAUACAAGCCGGACGAGCCAAUGUCAGUGUCUGUUGCCUUCUCAUUACCCCAGUCAACUCUUGGCCCUCAGAGACAUUUUCCAACACAUGAUGCCACUCAAGGAUGGAUCAUGAAUCAAGUCAGGACCAUCAAGCAUGGAUUAUACGGCCUCACAAUUUCAGGGACCUUCAGCUGAGGGGCCCGAAACUUGGAGAUAAACUUCUGCAGAUGUAAAAUUCAAAUCAAUUGCUUGAUUAUAUGCUUGUGGCAAUUACCAUAAUGUGAAAUAAACAAAGAAAUGAGAAAA